UAGCCAUUUUUGCUACGCUGGUCCUUU
RNAcentral lists this non-coding RNA (27 nucleotides) under Rattus norvegicus (Norway rat). The record is from RNAcentral. Lineage: Eukaryota; Metazoa; Chordata; Mammalia; Rodentia; Muridae.